Amphibalanus amphitrite is the source of this 1062-nucleotide long non-coding RNA. RefSeq lists it as uncharacterized. The record is from RefSeq and is a predicted model, not a curated record. The transcript has 2 exons. Lineage: Eukaryota; Metazoa; Arthropoda; Thecostraca; Balanomorpha; Balanidae.
AGCGCAGCGACCGAGCGGCCGGCAUGCGGGCCUCCAUCCUGGUCCUGGCUCUGAGCGCUGCGGCUGUGACCGGCCACAAGUUCAAAUAUGAGUGGUGCAAGCUGCCCGCCGUGCAGGGCCCCUGCAAAGCCUCCUUCAAACGGUGGUACUUCAACGAAGAGCGGGGAGAAUGUGUCCAGUUCCAGUACGGAGGAUGCAAGGGAAACAAGAACCGGUUCAAAUCGGCUUCCAAGUGCAGACUGGCCUGCGGUCGGGAGCUUUGCGACCAGGAGCCACCGAGCGGCAAAUGCAGACUCUUCAUGAGGUUAACGCGUUGGUAUUACAGUCAAUCGGAAGAUAAAUGUAAAACAUUCACAUACCGCGGUUGCAAGGAUAGCGCAAACAAGUUCAAAUCAAAAGCGUCAUGCGAGCGGCGCUGCCCCAGCAUCGGCGCACCACCAGCCCCCACCACCACCGCACCACCAGCCCCCGCCACCACUGGUGCACCCGCUCCCUUGGGCUUUUGCAACAGGCCCCAGUUCUGCAACGACCCGAUGGACGAGGGCAUCUGCCUCGCCCAAAUCAAACGCUACUACUUCGACGGCACUUGCUGCCGAAAAUUCUACUUCGGCGGCGUGGGCGGCAACCUGAACAACUUCAAAUCUAAGAAUGCUUGCAUGCGAGUAUGCAUGCCAACGGCGUCAACAAAUAUGUGGCCUGUACUAGUAGGGUAGUUCAUUCGAAUAGACGGAUGUGGGCCAUGGGGCUCCUAUAAUGUUUUCUGAGUGACCAUAGCCUUAGGGUCUAUAGCAGGACUACGCAAGGCAAGGAGCUGCUGGAAGCACCAGGCCACUGAGACGUUUGCACCUGACAUUCAUGUGGCAUAGGCACCUGCCCGGUAGAGGCGACUUAUGGGGACACAGGUUGUGGUCCUCAGUCACCACUAGGAUAAGUUAUAACAGUACUAGAAAGGUUGGGGGUCUGUCGCAGGUCUGUGUGCCCCUAAGGUCUGGGGACGUGGGUGUAUGAUCACCACUCUUGUCCGCUUUUUACAGAAAUAAUAAAUGUAACUAUCUGAAACUA